This 1452-nucleotide ribosomal RNA is filed under the name Triticum aestivum (bread wheat). RNAcentral's name for it is "partial small subunit ribosomal RNA". Lineage: Eukaryota; Viridiplantae; Streptophyta; Magnoliopsida; Poales; Poaceae. The record is from RNAcentral.
AUGGUCCAGAUCAAGAGCUUCAAGGUGUCGCCCCACGCUGUCAUGGAGCAAUGGCGGUCGCGCCUCCUUGUCGGAUUGGAUUGGCAUGGACGAGGGCAUGCAGCACCUCGAUCGCUCGUCCGUCAAUGUGUUGGUCUGCGUUCAGAGCAAGUUAAUGGUGAAUUCCCGACAAACCCGCAGCUCCCCGUCGUCUCCCCCGCCCCUCUGUCGUGCUCCCUCGCGCCUCGGCAGCUCGGCUCCUCCGCAGCCCCCCCGCAGGUCCCCGCGUCGCCGGAGCUCUCCUGCCCCAAGCCUCACCCACCCCACGCCUCCCCCGCAGCUUCCCUCUCCUUGUUCCCCUCCUCUUUCCCCAUGGUGAUCCACGGUCCUCCUCCUCCGUGGUGGAGGCUUCCUGUGGAGGUGCUGCUACUGUGGGCGACGCGCACAGCGAUGAGCGCGUGGUCGGUGCCCGUCGCCAUCGCGCUGCUCGGGAUCGCCGUGCGGGGCCGCCGGAUGCGGAGGCAGAGCAAGGCCGUGGCGCGCUUGCGGCUUGUCCUUGACGAUAAGUCAUUAGUGCCUGCAGUACCAAAUGUGAUGUUUGAUGUUUGCAACUUGGUCAUAACUCUGAUUAUCCAAAUCAACAUCAACAUUUACUCAUCUGCUAACUUAUGCUUCCCCAAUGGUGGGCAGUGUUGCCACCAUGUUCUUGUCCUGUUAAUCAAGAGUGCUACUCCAUCUAACUGUCAUGAGGGAUUAUAUAUGUUAAUUUGCUUCCAAAAAAUGAUUGAUUGUUUGUUUCCAAACAUCUUCAUGCGUCCAGGAAUGCCUACGAGAGGCGGGGCCGGUGAUUGGAUUCGUAGCAGCAGCAGCAGCAGAGGCGGGGGCGAGGAAAGAGCGUUCCACCAGCCAAGCUUGGCUACCAGCUCGGUGACCGUCGGGUGGGCGAUUCCGUCACUUAGGUGGCUGGCAGUGGCGGUGGGCGGUGGAAUCACGCAGGUAGGUGGCGGCGGAAUCGCGCAGGUGGUCGGCGGUUGGUCCUGGCGACGCGCGGGGGAAUCAGGGACCAGCUCGCCUCCGGUGGGCGGCGGAAUCAAUGGGCAGCUGUUCUCGGGUGGGCGGCGCGGGUGUUCGUGGGUGUCUGCGAGCGCCGGAAUCACCAGCACGGCGGCGGAAUCCGACCGCGCCGGCCCCUGGCGACGAGCGGAGGACGGGCGGAGGGAGGAGAAGGAGACUGGUACCUACUUCAGACAGUUUUCAAAUUUCGAGGGUUGUUUUACAAAAAAAACAUUACACUGCGCUCUGGACAACUUUUCCCGGACGGAGGGAGUACUAAUUAGGAAGGACCGUAUCAAAGAAGAUGCAGAGACGGUAUGGAAGGGGAAGGGGAGAAGACGUCGCUGCACAACUCAUAUUGCGCUGGUAUUGGAGCAUAUAAUAUUGGGCUGCAUGUUGGCCGAAGUGGGCUGCAUGUGA